RNAcentral lists this ribosomal RNA (214 nucleotides) under uncultured bacterium. RNAcentral's name for it is "partial 16S ribosomal RNA". It matches the Rfam family "Bacterial small subunit ribosomal RNA", at positions 1287 to 1500 of the family's 1533-position model. The record is from RNAcentral.
CCCAGUUCGGAUUGCAGUCUGCAACUCGACUGCAUGAAGCUGGAAUCGCUAGUAAUCGCAGGUCAGCAUACUGCGGUGAAUACGUUCCCGGGUCUUGUACACACCGCCCGUCACACCAUGGGAGCCGGAAAUGCCCGAAGCCAGUGACCCAACCUUAGGGAGGGAGCUGUCGAAGGUGGAGCCGGUAACUGGGGUGAAGUCGUAACAAGGUAAC